CCCAGUACCAUGAUCUUAGUUCAAUUUAAACUUACCAAAAGAACUCCCAAAUCAUAAUGUAAGUUUAAACUUUACUCUAAAGAGGGACAGCUCUUUAGAUAAGGAAAUAACCUGUAAUAGUGAGUAAACUUAAUAUUAUCCCACAGUUGGCCUAAAAGCAGCCACCAGUUAAGAAAGCGUUCAAGCUCAACAUUUAAUUAAACCAAAUUCGCUUCUUCUAAUUCAACUCCUAUUAUUACCACUGGGUUAAUCUAUUUAUAAAUAGAUGAAAAUAUGUUAAUAUAAGUAACAAGAAAAAUUUUCUCCUAGCAUGAGUUUAUAUCAGACCGAAUACUCACUGAUAGUUAACAAUCUAAUAAUAAUAACCCUAAUUAAAUUUUUAUUAACUAUAUUGUUAAUCCAACACAGGUAUGCAUUCAAGGAAAGAUUAAAAGAAGUAAAAGGAACUCGGCAAACACUAACCCCGCCUGUUUACCAAAAACAUCACCUCUAGCAUAACAAGUAUUAGAGGCACUGCCUGCCCAGUGACUUUCGUUUAACGGCCGCGGUAUCCUGACCGUGCAAAGGUAGCAUAAUCACUUGUUCCUUAAUUAGGGACUUGUAUGAAUGGCUUAACGAGGGUUUAACUGUCUCUUACUUCCAAUCAGUGAAAUUGACCUUCCAGUGAAGAGGCUGGAAUAUAAUAAUAAGACGAGAAGACCCUAUGGAGCUUCAAUUGGCUAACUUAAAUUUUAUACUAACCAUCCAUUAGGAAUAACCAAAAAAUAAUUAAGUUAGAAAUUUCGGUUGGGGUGACCUCGGAGCAUAAACAAACCUCCGAAAGAUAAAACCUAGACAAACAAGUCAAAAUCUAAUAUAUCCAAUUGACCCAAAAUUCUUGAUCAACGAAACAAGUUACCCUAGGGAUAACAGCGCAAUCCUAUUUUAGAGUUCAUAUCGACAAUAGGGUUUACGACCUCGAUGUUGGAUCAGGACAUCCCAAUGGUGUAGCCGCUAUUGACGGUUCGUUUGUUCAACGAUUAACAGUCCUACGUGAUCUGAGUUCAGACCGAUAUC
Molecule: ribosomal RNA, 1056 nt
Filed under: Glis glis (Fat dormouse)
Lineage: Eukaryota; Metazoa; Chordata; Mammalia; Rodentia; Gliridae
Description: partial 16S ribosomal RNA
Rfam family: Bacterial large subunit ribosomal RNA
Source: RNAcentral